RNAcentral lists this ribosomal RNA (433 nucleotides) under uncultured bacterium. RNAcentral's name for it is "bacterial SSU rRNA". It matches the Rfam family "Bacterial small subunit ribosomal RNA", at positions 29 to 507 of the family's 1533-position model. The record is from RNAcentral.
AUGAACGCUGGCGGCGUGCUUAACACAUGCAAGUCGAACGAACCUUCGGGGUUUAGUGGCGGACGGGUGAGUAACGCGUGAGAAUCUGCCCUCAGGAGGGGGAUAACGGCUGGAAACGGCCGCUAAUACCCCAUAUGCCGCGAGGUGAAAUGAAUUUCGCCUGAGGAUGAGCUCGCGUCUGAUUAGCUAGUUGGUGGGGUAAAGGCCUACCAAGGCAUCGAUCAGUAGCUGGUCUGAGAGGAUGAUCAGCCACACUGGGACUGAGACACGGCCCAGACUCCUACGGGAGGCAGCAGUGGGGAAUUUUCCGCAAUGGGCGAAAGCCUGACGGAGCAACGCCGCGUGAGGGAUGAAGGCCUCUGGGCUGUAAACCUCUUUUAUCAAGGAAGAAGAUCUGACGGUACUUGAUGAAUAAGCCACGGCUAAUUCCGUG